GACUAUGGCCAUAUCAUCCUGAACAUACCUGAUCUCAUCUGAUCUCAGAAGCUAAGCAGAAUCAAUUAGGCCUGGUUUGUAUUUGGAUGGGAGACCACCUGCGAAUGCCGGGUGCUAUAGGCU
This 123-nucleotide ribosomal RNA is filed under the name Vombatus ursinus (common wombat). The record is from RNAcentral. Lineage: Eukaryota; Metazoa; Chordata; Mammalia; Diprotodontia; Vombatidae.